AGAGUUUGAUCCUGGCUCAGAUUGAACGCUGGCGGCAUGCCUAACACAUGCAAGUCGAACGGCAGCAUGAUGUGUAGCAAUACACAUUGAUGGCGAGUGGCGGACGGGAGAGUAACACGUGGGAACGUGCCCAUCAGUUCGGAACAACCCAGGGAAACUUGGGCUAAUACCGGAUACGCCCUUACGGGGAAAGAUUUAUCGCUGAUGGAGCGGCCCGCGUCUGAUUAGCUUGUUGGUGAGGUAACGGCUCACCAAGGCGACGAUCAGUAGCUGGUCUGAGAGGAUGAUCAGCCUCACUGGGACUGAGACACGGCCCAGACUCCUACGGGAGGCAGCAGUGGGGAAUAUUGGACAAUGGGCGCAAGCCUGAUCCAGCCAUGCCGCGUGGAUGAUGAAGGCCUUAGGGUUGUAAAGUCCUUUCGGCGGGGAAGAUAAUGACGGUACCCGCAGAGAGCC
Molecule: ribosomal RNA, 456 nt
Filed under: uncultured Microvirga sp.
Lineage: Bacteria; Pseudomonadati; Pseudomonadota; Alphaproteobacteria; Hyphomicrobiales; Methylobacteriaceae
Description: partial 16S ribosomal RNA
Rfam family: Bacterial small subunit ribosomal RNA
Source: RNAcentral